UUUCUGCCAGACAGACACAAACUGAGACUUGAAAAUGUGUACGUAAUGUGUACGAGACGUAAAAAUGUGUACUUUCUUAUUGAUACUGAAAUGCCUUCACAUCCUAGCUUAACUUACCAGGAACUUAAAACACUAUAUUGUGAAGGUUCUAUCUGGAUUGAGAAUUAAUUGAUUUGGAUCACAUGGGAACAGGCUGUUGAGGAGUUGAAUGGUGCAGUUGAAGAUAAGGAGGAAGCUCUCAAAGUAGAUGCUGCUGCUGAAGUUAAGUUGGCCUACUGUCCACCUGGAUGGCUUAAAUAUGAAUCACUCUCCUUUCAACAUGAGAUCAAUUCUGUCCUGGCUCAAUGCUGAGGCCCAAGCAAAUGCUAAAGCGUCUUCUGCUCAGUGUUCCUGGGAUAAGCUCUGGAUCCACCAUGACCCUGACAAGGAUAAAAUGGUUACUGAAAAUGAAUGAAUGAAAAAUGCCAAAUGGGGCAUGUGUGGUGCAGCUCGAUUGACCCGCAAUCAGUGUGUAACGCCUAACUGUACUGCGCUUGCAACCAAUCACUGAUCACCAUUGUUCCCCAUGACCAGUUACUGAUUACCACUGUUUUCCAAUGACCAAUCACUGAUCACAACUGUCAGUCCCACCCUUGCAUUUAUUUGUUCUUCUUUUUAAACUUCCUUCUUGCAGAUAUAGUAAUAAACAUUUCCCUACUAUUCAAUUUUCACAAAUACUCAGUCAGCACAUCUUUUUUGUUCUUUUAUAGUAUUUUGUAAAUGUACUUAGUUCAAAGAUGACUUGUUUAUGUAAGAAAUAACUUCUAAUCUACUUUUACCUAUUAUUUUUACCUAAA
Molecule: long non-coding RNA, 836 nt
Organism: Ictalurus punctatus (channel catfish)
Lineage: Eukaryota; Metazoa; Chordata; Actinopteri; Siluriformes; Ictaluridae
Source: Ensembl